Molecule: ribosomal RNA, 200 nt
Filed under: uncultured prokaryote
Description: partial 16S ribosomal RNA
Rfam family: Bacterial small subunit ribosomal RNA
Source: RNAcentral
AUGUCAAAUCAUCAUGCCCUAUAUGUCCUGGGCAACACACGUACUACAAUGGCUACUACAGAGAGAGACAAAUCCGCGAGGAAGAGUAAACCUAUAAAAGUAGUCUCAGUUCGGAUUGAAGGCUGAAAUUCGCCUUCAUGAAGUCGGAAUUGCUAGUAAUUGCAGGUCAGCAUACUGCAGUGAAUACGUUCCCGGCUCUU